AUGAACGCUGGCGGCGUGCCUAAUACAUGCAAGUCGAGCGAACAGAUAAGGAGCUUGCUCCUUUGACGUUAGCGGCGGACGGGUGAGUAACACGUGGGUAACCUACCUAUAAGACUGGAAUAACUCCGGGAAACCGGGGCUAAUGCCGGAUAAAUUUUAGAACCGCAUGGUUCUAAAGUGAAAGAUGGUUUUGCUAUCACUUAUAGAUGGACCCGCGCCGUAUUAGCUAGUUGGUAAGGUAACGGCUUACCAAGGCAACGAUACGUAGCCGACCUGAGAGGGUGAUCGGCCACACUGGAACUGAGACACGGUCCAGACUCCUACGGGAGGCAGCAGUAGGGAAUCUUCCGCAAUGGGCGAAAGCCUGACGGAGCAACGCCGCGUGAGUGAUGAAGGUCUUCGGAUCGUAAAACUCUGUUAUUAGGGAAGAACAAAUGUGUAAGUAACUGUGCACGUCUUGACGGUACCUAAUCAGAAAGCCACGGCUAACUACGUG
RNAcentral lists this ribosomal RNA (496 nucleotides) under uncultured bacterium. Its description in RNAcentral is "partial 16S ribosomal RNA". It matches the Rfam family "Bacterial small subunit ribosomal RNA", at positions 29 to 507 of the family's 1533-position model. The record is from RNAcentral.